UGGACACUAAAGUCUGGGGAGAAUCGCCGCUGAACACGAAAGGAACCCCCCCCCCCCCCAUCAUUUCUAUCUCCUUCAACAUAAGCCCUCCGUCAUUCUGCAAUCAAACACAAAUGACCCCCUCCUAAUCAUCUUCUUCAACUCUUCUUCUCACCGGUCAGUGGCGAACUUGCCAUAAAACACAUCUACCUUCAUCGCCACUGCUCCUUCUUCUUCGUCCAUCACAACUACAACAGGCAUGAAACCUGCUUGAAUCCUCGUGAAACAGUCCGGAAAGCCACUAUUCAGUCCAAAAACAGAACCAUGAAACCCUAAAAUGAAUCAAUUCCAGAUUUUGCAUCUUCAAUGCUCAGAAACCAAUCGUUUAAGUCUGUCUUUUUGUUUCAUGUUUGAGCUUUCCAUCAAGCUUUAGGGUCGUCAAUGGCUGCUGUCUAGGGAGGCUCUAUUUUAGUCGUGCGUUGAUGUGCCGUUUGGUUGGUUUUCGGUUGAAUUCCGUCCAGGGUUCUAAUGUUUGGAGGUCCGUCUCUUUCCUCCUCUUUGAUUACCUGUGAGAUGGUUUUAAGCAUGACAUUGAUUUUUUACAUUUGUUUGAGUCAUUAAGUCUUUCAAGUUGGUCUUAGAAUCUCUUAAUACACAACGUGUUGGUUGUCGAUUUUAGUUGAAAUUGAAUGUUUUGUGUUAUGUUUGAGCUUGACGUUUUAACGGGAAAGCAUUUCUAUAGUUUAAAUUUCAAUUAGUUUGAGGUCAGAUUGCCAUAUGAAUUAGUGCUUAAAAUAUUUUGCAAUGUCCAUAAUGUUAGUGUUCAAUUACAGUGAUGGGUUUCUCUUCCAAUGCAAGUUAAUAUUUGGCCAUUUUCUUGUCUAAAUUAGGUACUGUUAGUUUUAAAGGGACAAUAUUGUGCAUCAGGUUGCUUUUAUUUGCCUUGUUAUUCUCAUCGUUUCUUAUUUAUUUAUUUUGCGUUUUGUUUUCUCUGAAUACCAUAUGUUUCAUUGUGUGUGUAUCUCUUAUUGAUCAAAUAUGAGGCCAAAAAUCAGAACUUUGCUAGCCGCUAUAAUUUUGAAUAGUGAUAAAAUAAGAUAAAGAUGUUAUAAAUCCGAGUGUAUAUUUCAUAUGACCCGAUUCUAAUUUUCCAACAAGGUUAAAUAGAACGUGUCGUGAACCAUGGGUGCAUUUCAUGUGGCGUGGCUUGCGAUAUGUGUUUAAAUAACCUUGAAUUUUUCUAAAAUAUUAAAAGCGACUAAAAAGUUAAACAAUGCACAUAGGUUUAAAAGUGUUUUAAAAUCAGAUAUCUAGGCCAAUAAUAACUGUUGAGCGACCGUGCUAAAACCACAGAAUCCGGGAAUGCCUAACACCUUCUCCCAGAUUAACAGAAUUCCUUACCCGGAUUUCUGUGUUCGCGGACUAUAGAACAAAGUCAAUCUUUCCUCGAUUCGGAAUUUGAACUGGUGACUUGGGACACCAUAAAUUAUCCCAAGUGGCGACUCUGAUUUUAAAUAAAUAAAUAAUCCUGUUUUGAUUGUCACUUAAAUUUGAAAAAACUCCCUUAUACCCUUCCGGGGUGUAGGUAAAAAGGAGGUGUGACAGCUCUGGCGACUCUGCUGGGGAACGAACCCAGAAUCUCUGGUUCAGGGUUCAGAAUUCGAGCUUAGAUGAAUUGUUAUAUUUGGAUUUACUUAUUAUCUGGUUUUAUUCACAUAUUUUGGCCUAAUGUGCCAAAUAUUGUUUUUACCGCUUUGAUAUUCUGUGAAUUGUAUAUAAACUGCUACGAAACCCUUCUUCUCUCUGAGUCUUCUAAAUCAUUUGGGGAGUAUGCACUUCGUGUGACUUCUCUUCUAUCUAGAGUCUUAUCCAAUUUUAGAACUAGGUUCGGACAAGUUGCAAAGCCGGUGAAGCUUCUGUAUUCCCGGUACGCUGCCCCCCCUCGGCUCGAGCUAUCUGCUCGGGUAAGCCAGGUCUAGAAUAAUAAACCCAGAUUUUAAACCUAGUAUAACAAAACAUCAUGCCGGAUCCCUAGUAGGAACGCUUGUUUGCAUCACGUGCAUUUGACUUUGGAGACUCAACACAGGAGUUGGGUUUGUCUAGGACAGAUGCACCCAAAAUAACAGACCAUCUUGAUGCAUCCUAUGUGCUACAUGUUGCAUUUAUUCUAGGGUAAAAGGGUCAAUUAGCGGACCAAUGAUAGUUGAGGGCAAAUAAAAAAAGAAAAAAAAAGAGGGUGAAGUGUGAAGAUAAAGCGAGUAGGGCCCAAUUAUGCUUCCUGUCACAUUUUGUUAAGGAAAAAAGAGCUUGAAAAUUCAAAAAAAAAACAAAAGAAAAAAAAAUAUUUUGUAUUUUUUCAUCAUUCUCCGUAAAUCAGAAAAUCAAAAAAAAAGAAAAAGAAAAAAAUCAAAAAAAAAGGUUACAUGUCUCAUCAUUUUUCGAAAAAGACAAAAAAAUAUGUUUUCUCUAAAUUAGUUAUUUUUUUUUAAUUCUCGCCCGUAUCUAAUCUGCUCGAACUACGCAUACCUGAUUCUCGUCUUUCGGGGUGUGAUACAUAGGAAACCCACAUAGGGUUUGGUCUUCCUAGAAAAUGUUCUUAGGUUCUUGGCUUUGCGGGGUCUUAGCCAAAUUUUGCACUUCUAGUCACCUUUUGGCCACAUAAGUCAUUUUGCAAAAAUAGCCUGAAUCAUGUCUUGCAUGUGUUUAAUAGGGAGUGUUGUUAUCUCACAUAGUGUUGGUUAAAGUUUUCUCAUACAGGUGUGGGCCUAUUUACCAGAGUUCGAGCAUAGCAGAGCCCCAGGACCAUCUAGUCAGGAUCGCUCAUUUAGGAGUGGAUUAAAAGAAGAUUUUCUUUUUUUUUUAUGCUUUGAGUCUGUUAUUCUUUUUUAUGUCGUCCUUUAAUUUCUAGCUUUGUACAAUAAUGUCGAGUCUUUUGAUAUUGUGUUUCCCCAUUUUGUAUUGAAGAAAGAUGUGUAAUAAGGCAAAAAUUAUAAAAUAAAAAAAAGAUUUUGCGGU
This 2994-nucleotide long non-coding RNA is filed under the name Nicotiana tabacum (common tobacco). Its description in RNAcentral is "long non-coding RNA (NTAB_LNC012915)". Lineage: Eukaryota; Viridiplantae; Streptophyta; Magnoliopsida; Solanales; Solanaceae. The record is from RNAcentral.